RNAcentral lists this ribosomal RNA (468 nucleotides) under uncultured bacterium. RNAcentral describes it as "partial 16S ribosomal RNA". It matches the Rfam family "Bacterial small subunit ribosomal RNA", at positions 28 to 507 of the family's 1533-position model. The record is from RNAcentral.
GACGAACGCUGGCGGCGUGCUUAACACAUGCAAGUCGAACGGAAAGGCCCUGCUUUUGUGGGGUGCUCGAGUGGCGAACGGGUGAGUAACACGUGAGUAACCUGCCCUUGACUUUGGGAUAACUUCAGGAAACUGGGGCUAAUACCGGAUAGGAGCUCCUGCUGCAUGGUGGGGGUUGGAAAGUUUCGGCGGUUGGGGAUGGACUCGCGGCUUAUCAGCUUGUUGGUGGGGUAGUGGCUUACCAAGGCUUUGACGGGUAGCCGGCCUGAGAGGGUGACCGGCCACAUUGGGACUGAGAUACGGCCCAGACUCCUACGGGAGGCAGCAGUGGGGAAUAUUGCACAAUGGGCGGAAGCCUGAUGCAGCAACGCCGCGCGCGGGAUGACGGCCUUCGGGUUGUAAACCGCUUUCGCCUGCGACGAAGCGUGAGUGACGGUAAUGGGUAAAGAAGCACCGGCUAACUACGUG